This 467-nucleotide ribosomal RNA is filed under the name uncultured bacterium. Its description in RNAcentral is "partial 16S ribosomal RNA". It matches the Rfam family "Bacterial small subunit ribosomal RNA", at positions 28 to 507 of the family's 1533-position model. The record is from RNAcentral.
GACGAACACUGGCGGCGUGCUUAACACAUGCAAGUCGAACGGAAAGGCCUCUUUCGGGGGGUACUCGAGUGGCGAACGGGUGAGUAACACGUGAGUAACCUGCCCUUGACUUUGGGAUAACUUCAGGAAACUGGGGCUAAUACCGGAUAGGAGCUCCUGCUGCAUGGUGGGGGUUGGAAAGUUUCGGCGGUUGGGGAUGGACUCGCGGCUUAUCAGCUUGUUGGUGGGGUAGUGGCUUACCAAGGCUUUGACGGGUAGCCGGCCUGAGAGGGUGACCGGCCACAUUGGGACUGAGAUACGGCCCAGACUCCUACGGGAGGCAGCAGUGGGGAAUAUUGCACAAUGGGUGGAAGCCUGAUGCAGCAACGCCGUGUGCGGGAUGACGGCCUUCGGGUUGUAAACCGCUUUCGCUCAUGACGAAGCUUUGUGUGACGGUAGUGGGUAAAGAAGCACCGGCUAACUACGUG